AGAGCUACACUUGGAUACUAAACACAAGUGGUCUGGAUAGAUUAUGCUGGGAAAAGAAGCCUGGAGCAGGCAGUACAGUGGGAGAACAAGACAGAAGUGCUUGCCUUGGUGAUCCAAAAAAGGCAGGAUCCGGCCGGGGGCAAGGUGAUUAUUCUGUCUGAUGAGGAGAAUAAGAGCCAGUUUGUGGUAUUGACAGAAGAAUGAAAGUAAAGUUCAACCAAUCUACAAAGGCCAAAAAUAUUUUCACAGGCCCCCAAAAGAUGAACUCCAAUCUGCUGCCCCUAAACGCAUUCUCCACUGUCUGGAAGAUGUGCAAAGGCAACGGCACAGCGUUCUCCAUCUCAAAUCCUUCAAAGUGCUGUCAGAAUAAAAGAAUCCCCACCAAAAGCCCCAGGGAAAUCUAUCUGUCUGUAUGGUAUGGUAAUGACUGAGGUUAUUCCAGAUAGGAUUCUGGGAGAAACUCAGCUAUUGAAAUCUAAUGAAUGGAACUGAGAAUUUCUUGUUAUAAUACUGUUUGUUUGAUUGAAUAUAUCCUUGCAUAUAGGAAGACAUAAAAAUAAAUAAUAAAAGCAAGAUAUUAUUUGAA
RNAcentral lists this long non-coding RNA (586 nucleotides) under Homo sapiens (human). RNAcentral describes it as "non-protein coding LINC01013:25". Lineage: Eukaryota; Metazoa; Chordata; Mammalia; Primates; Hominidae. The record is from RNAcentral.